GCAAGUCGAACGCGAGAGAGGCUUCGGCCUCAAUUGAGUGGCAAACGGGUGAGUAACACGUGGGUGACCUACCUUCGAGUGGGGGAUAACGUCCCGAAAGGGACGCUAAUACCGCAUAACAUCCUGUUCUUGAACGGAUGGAGAUCAAAGCCGGGGAUCGCAAGACCCGGCGCUUGAUGAGGGGCCCGCGUCUGAUUAGCUAGUUGGUGAGGUAACGGCCCACCAAGGCGACGAUCAGUAUCCGGCCUGAGAGGGCGGACGGACACACUGGGACUGAGACACUGCCCAGACUCCUACGGGAGGCAGCAGUGGGGAAUUGUUCACAAUGGGCGCAAGCCUGAUGACGCACGCCGCGUGGAGGAUGAAGGUCUUCGGAUUGUAAACUCCUGUUGCUCGGGACGAAAAGCCUCGACCUAAUACGUCGAGGUCUGACGGUACCGAGUGAGGAAGCCCCGGCUAACUCUGUGCCAGCAGCCGCGGUAAUACAGAGGGGGCAAGCGUUGUUCGGAAUUACUGGGCGUAAAGGGCGCGUAGGCGGCCCGCUAAGUCGAACGUGAAAUCCCCGAGCUCAACUCGGGAACUGCGUCCGAUACUGGCGGGCUUGAAUCCGGGAGAGGGAUGCGGAAUUCCAGGUGUAGCGGUGAAAUGCGUAGAUAUCUGGAGGAACACCGGUGGCGAAGGCGGCAUCCUGGACCGGCAUUGACGCUGAGGCGCGAAAGCUAGGGGAGCAAACGGGAUUAGAUACCCCGGUAGUCCUAGCCCUAAACGAUGAAUGCUUGGUGUGGCGGGUAUCGAUCCCUGCCGUGCCGAAGCUAACGCAUUAAGCAU
This 828-nucleotide ribosomal RNA is filed under the name uncultured Bacillota bacterium. Its description in RNAcentral is "bacterial SSU rRNA". It matches the Rfam family "Bacterial small subunit ribosomal RNA", at positions 57 to 867 of the family's 1533-position model. Lineage: Bacteria; Bacillati; Bacillota. The record is from RNAcentral.